RNAcentral lists this long non-coding RNA (529 nucleotides) under Crocodylus porosus (Australian saltwater crocodile). RNAcentral describes it as "lncRNA (ENSCPRG00005012386.1)". Lineage: Eukaryota; Metazoa; Chordata; Crocodylia; Crocodylidae. The record is from RNAcentral.
AAGAUCACUCCUGUUCUGUCUCCUUCUACUUGCUGAAGAGCUUUUCCUGGAAUCUCAGACCCACAGAUAAGGCAAUCAUCCUCAGCUGUGAAGGAUUACUGAUGAUAAUUUACUUAAAAGAUCUCAGGCUGGUUUAUGCUAAGCAUGUAAAGUUCCCCUCUUCUCCCUUCAGGACAGGAAUUUUUGGCCCGUACAGCCUGUUGACACUGGAUUUUGGAUCCAGCACUUACAUCUUUGUUCUGGAUGAGCACAACCCUCAGACUGACUACAACACCUGCCAGUCGAUCAUAGGCAAACUUAUUGAUACAGAGCAAGAGCAAAAAAGCAACAAUAGAAACAAUCAAACAAUUCUCUAUCUACCAAUCCUAGGGCUGUCAUCAGAGUAAAGGUACAUCUGGUCAAGAUGCAGGCUCCACUCUGAAGCUCUCUCUCUUAAAUGUCUGGAGGUGGGAUGCUGAGGCCCACAGCCUCCCUCCAGUGGAGUGCAUGAGAUGGGCUACUGGUAUGCCUUCAGUCCAUGGUGGCCUUG